GAUGAACGCUGGCGGCGUGCUUAACACAUGCAAGUCGAGCGAACAGACGAGGCGCUUGCGCCUCUGACGUUAGCGGAGCGCGGGUGAGAAACAUGUGUAUAACCUGCCUAUAUGACGGGGAUAAUUACGGGAAACCGGAGCUAAUACCGGAGAAUCUAUUGAAGCGCAGGGUGCAUUGGUGAAAGACGGUGGUGGUGUCACGUAUAGAGGGAUCCGCGCCGCAUUAGCUAGUUGGGAAGUUAACGGCUUACCAAGGGAACGAGGCGUAGCCGAACUGCGAGACUGAUCGGCCACACUAGAGGUGAACCAGGGUCCAGACUCCUACGAUAGGCAGCAGUAGGGAAUCGUCGGCAGUGGGCGGAAGCAUGACGGAGCAGCGGGGAGUGAGUGAUGAAGGUCUUGGGUUCGUAAUGCUCUGUUUUUAGGGAAAAACAAAUGUGUCAGUAACUAUGCCCGUAUUGACGGUAACUAAUCAGAAAGCCCCGGCUAACUACGUG
RNAcentral lists this ribosomal RNA (497 nucleotides) under uncultured bacterium. RNAcentral's name for it is "partial 16S ribosomal RNA". It matches the Rfam family "Bacterial small subunit ribosomal RNA", at positions 28 to 507 of the family's 1533-position model. The record is from RNAcentral.